GUAUUAGUGUUGAUCCUAAUUUGCAUUACAACUAACACGUCAAGGACAGGUAGAGGAAAUAAUGUCCUGCUGAUAGGUUCUGUGAUUGACCCAAUGACUAAUUGUGGUUCUAGUCGAGAGGUAGAUCAAGGCACAUCCCAUCAGCAGUUGGGAGAUGAACAGCAUGGAGGCCAUGGAUCAAAAUAGUGAAAUGGAUCAAAACUAUGGGCGUGGACAUGGAGAUUUGGAGACGUAGAAUGCCCGUGCGUUGCCACAUGCAUUUUAAAAGUCUUCCUAGUUCAUCAUGAUCAUGUUCUACGGGACAAAAAUUCCGAUGUUUAUGGAUAUAUGAUAUUCCUCAUUGCAAUUAAUAUCACUAAAUUUCUCGAUCCACCAAACUGUACAAAAGUAAAUGAAUCUGAGUUUAGUGGAAUAAGGAUCGAUCAAAUGAAUGAACAAACAAAUCGCGCACAUGUCGUUCAUUAGUUCUUCUCCGCCAGAAAAUGGAACCCAAUACGUUGUUGCUGCAAUAUUUCAUUGGUCCUCGGAACCCAUGAGCCUCCUCGCUAGUGCUAAGGAACCCUGUUUGGCCAUCACUUCCGCCGCCAGCUUCAGCAUCACCACUUACAUGUCUCCGCCAGCUCUGCCACGGUGCCAUGUCCACCAUGUUUCACUUUAUCGUACUCCCUCUGUCCCAAAAUUCUUGUCUUAGAUUUGUCUAGACAAAUCUAAGACAAGAAUUUUGGGACGGAGGGAAUACAUUACUCACGUAACAUAAGUACUAUUGUUCAAGCAUGCAUACCAGUCGUUAGAUCUAGUACAUCCAAGCAGUUGCGAUCCACCACUUUUCACAAUCCCCUCCGUCCGCCAGACGUCUCCUGCACUGCAUCAAAGACACUCACAGAUGCCCUCGUCCAAUGUAGGUUGUUGCCCCUGAGAGGCCUCCCUCACCGGCCAUAGAUCUCGCCGCAAGUCGCACCUCCCCAUGACCAAACUCCAUCAGAUAUACAAACACAUGCAGACAUGCUACACCUCGGUUAGUAUGCUAGACGUGCAUAUAGUACGCUAAAUAUUUUGUUUCUAGUAUUUUCUUAUUUCUUUUGUAAAAAUAUUUGAAGCACCAUUAGAACACAAGAUAAAAUCCAAUAUAUCAGAUAUGUUAAAAUCCAGUAAAUAAUGUCAUUAAAGUAUAUACAAAUUUGCACUUCCAAUACACUGAACGAAAAAUGUACAUACAUCAACAUUCACUACUGCUUUCAACAAUGCUAGAACAUGAUCACUUGUUCAUCUUUCAGCAGACAAUCUUUGAGACCACUGGCGACCGGGGAGCUGCUGGAGAUCGCUCCUCAACUGGCUUAGCUGUUUGUUCAUCUAAAAAAGAAAAAGGGUUACCUUUCCGUUAAUUUUAGUCUUGCAGUUACAGCCCCUCAAGUAUUUGUCACCUAUAUUUUCUCAUUUUUUCAAUACCUUGUUUCAUAAUUAUCCUAUGUAUUUUCUUGAAGAGUGCAGGCUUAUUAUACACCAAUUCCCCUCCAUCCUCGAGUUACCUGGCCACCAUAGGUCCUCUCCUCCCUCUUGCCGCUCCAUGUGCUAGCAUUGAAAAUGCCAAAUUAUAUUCUGUCAUAUGUAGUUCUGAUAAUAACACAAAUACCUAAAAGCAAAGAAGAAAACCAAAGUGAAAUUGCUGGGAAAAUGUCAAGAAAUCACACACUGCUAGAUGAAUCAUAAGAAUAUAUGUACCCCAUUAUGUCUCAAAUCAUCAUAAUAUAGUGAUAGGUGAUGUAUAGGGAGAUAAAAGUCAUUGGCAACAAUUAAUAAUCCCUACUGGUUAAAGAAAGAAAUUUUUAUGUUUAUGUGAUGUGAAGAAGAACUGAAGUCAUAUCAUCUCCUGCUGCAUAACCAACUACUGGGUAGUGCUCUCUUUUCUAAGCUUGAUUAUCACAGGUUAAUCACUUGGGUGUUAUACUGCAAAGAAUUUUUUAUGCCUACGAGCUUGAGGUCCCAUCCCUGAUGACAGUCAAAUCCACUAUUUCUUCUUAUAUCCCAUGAUCGUCGUGCAUCCUAAGUUCUGCCAUGAGGGCACUUGGUGUCGCGCCGCCAGGUAAACUGGAGGACUUGCACCACACUGGCGCGGCCCAUGUCUUCACGUCGACUGACGGAGAAGUGGUCGUUUGGGAGGUUAGCGUGUGAGCUGAAGCUUGCACUGCAAGAAAUCAAGAAAUUCCAUUUUUACAAGAAAUUUGUGAGUGGAUCCUUAGUUUUGCUUUGCAUUAGUAAUUGUUCAGCAUGUCAACAUUUCAUCUGCCGGGUUCUGAAAUUGGAUAACUACAUCAACCUUGUAAAUGUUGCCUCUUCAAUACCAGGAAUGGUGUUGUCUCCUACUCUUUUCAAAGUGCUUUGAAGUCUCUUAUCAUCAGUGAUCGUAGUAUUGUGCACUUCCUUCUUUUUCCUAUCAUCAGUGGAAGGAAAACUAAGUAUAACAAGCAGGCAAAGGUUUCAUAUUUCUGUACUCUAAGCUGAUAUGCAUAUACUAAAUGGCAUUCACUGAAAGAUCUAUUUCAAAAUGUGACAAUAGCAUGCUUGGAUGAUAAUCAGUAUGCAUAGCUUGCACACUUCAAAUUUGGCAUUUCUACACAGGGUAUAAGCAAUGGUUUACAAGGCCCACAAAUUACUGAUUAUGAGGAAAUAUUUCGGGUCUGAGACAAACUAUUUACACAGGUAAAAUGAAUACAUGUAGAACAUAUAAUGUGUUGAAAGCGGGAAAUGCUACUGCUUGCAGAAAACCCAAUGACACUACCUAUGGAUGACAGGGUACCAUAGAAAUCACAUGUGCACGCUGCCCUUGCCUCCGGCACAGGGCACCGGCCAUCUUCUUCAGCUUGUCAACACUCAUAUUACAAUAGUCAUCCAAUCUCCUAUAUGAACCAACAAAUUAGUUUUGCCUCCAUAACGAAACUUUCUGAAGUGUCCAAUGUUUCUCUUCCUCUUAAUCUUCAGUUCUAUAAAAAGCUCAUCUAUCAAUCUAUAGCAAAACAGGGGGAAAAAGGACAAUUGCAUGAUCAGAUCCAUAACGAAACUUGUUGACCUGCGCCUAAUGUUUCUCUUCGUCUUAAUCUUUAGUUCUACACAAAGUGCAUCGCCCAAUAUACAAAAAAUAGGGAAAAAAGACAAUUGAAUGAUCAGAUAAGAAUGCAGUUACAUGGGACCAGCAUAAACCCUUUGUUCUAAUGGGCUGAAAACAAUAACAGAUAAAGUACAAGUCGACAAAAUGUGAAAUCUAUCAAAAGAGCAAAUGAGAUUAUAUAGUACACUGAAACACAACGUACCAACUCAAAUUUAUAAGUGUUUAUGCACAUAGAGCAUAUUGUUGCCCACUAUAGAGAAUGAAAACAAAGAUGUACACCAAGACAUUAAAGAGUUAAAUAGAAAUAAUAUAUUGUCAAAAUGAUCCUGCAAAAUCAGUAUACAAAUUCUAGAAUUAAUCACAUAAAUACUGUAUUAGUGUUGAUCCUAAUUUGCAUUACAACUAACACAUCAAGUACAGGUAGAGGAAAUAAUGUCCUGCUGAUAGGUUCUGUGAUUGACCCAAUGACUAAUUGUGGUUCUAGUCGAGAGGUAGAUCAAGGCACAUCCCGUCAGCAGUUGGGAGAUGAACAACAUGGAGGCCAUGGAUCAAAAUAGUGAAAUGGAUCAAAACUAUGGGCGUGGACAUGGAGAUUUGGAGAUGGUGGUUCAUGUAAAAAAAACAGGAAUAUACCUCAAGGAGUGGACGGCUAGACGCCGAAAACCUUGGCGACACCCUUGGCCGUCUUGCUCAGCCCCUCCCGAUUUCCUAGGUACCUCCGAGCGCCCUCUUUCCUGUCCAUACGGUGGCGCCUAACUUGCUUCCCGGCCAU
RNAcentral lists this long non-coding RNA (3875 nucleotides) under Triticum aestivum (bread wheat). RNAcentral describes it as "long non-coding RNA (TAES_LNC003594)". Lineage: Eukaryota; Viridiplantae; Streptophyta; Magnoliopsida; Poales; Poaceae. The record is from RNAcentral.